This 19-nucleotide microRNA is filed under the name Prunus persica (peach). RNAcentral describes it as "microRNA miRNA_387". Lineage: Eukaryota; Viridiplantae; Streptophyta; Magnoliopsida; Rosales; Rosaceae. The record is from RNAcentral.
UUGCGCUAUCCAUCCUGAG